GUAGGGAGCAAGCGUUGUCCGGAUAUACUGGGUGUAAAGGGUGCGUAGGCGGCUUUGCAAGUCAGAUGUGAAAUCUAUGGGCUCAACCCAUAAACUGCAUUUGAAACUGUAGAGCUUGAGUGAAGUAGAGGCAGGCGGAAUUCCACGUGUAGCGGUGAAAUGCGUAGAGAUGGGGAGGAACACCAGUGGCGAAGGCGGCCUGCUGGGCUUUAACUGACGCUGAGGCACGAAAGCGUGGGUAGCAAACAGGAUUAGAUACCCUGGUAGUCCACGCUGUAAACGAUGAUUACUAGGUGUGGGGGGUCUGACCCCUUCCGUGCCGGAGUUAACACAAUAAGUAAUCCACCUGGGGAGUACGGCCGCAAGGUUG
Molecule: ribosomal RNA, 370 nt
Filed under: uncultured bacterium
Lineage: Bacteria
Description: bacterial SSU rRNA
Rfam family: Bacterial small subunit ribosomal RNA
Source: RNAcentral